Molecule: non-coding RNA, 77 nt
Organism: Procavia capensis (Cape rock hyrax)
Lineage: Eukaryota; Metazoa; Chordata; Mammalia; Hyracoidea; Procaviidae
Source: Rfam
AUCAAAAUCCGAACCCUGCAUUAGCCACCAGGUAGGUGAUCGAUCCGGUAGGGAUCCUCCUUCUGCCACAUGGUGAC